Molecule: unclassified non-coding RNA, 458 nt
Filed under: Thrips tabaci
Lineage: Eukaryota; Metazoa; Arthropoda; Insecta; Thysanoptera; Thripidae
Description: partial contains 5.8S rRNA, ITS2 and 28S rRNA
Source: RNAcentral
GAACAUCGACCUUUGAACGCAAUGGCGGCCCUCGGUCUUUGCACCUUGGGCCACUCCUGGCUGAGGGUCGGUUUAAAGAAACGAUUACCAGACUGCCCAAGCGACAGCACACACCUCGUGUGUGUUGGAGCGGGCGAGCUUGGGGUUCUGCUCCCUUUGCGGAGUAGUUCCCUUAAAUGCCUUGAGGCAGAGGCUUCUCUCAGUCUUACUGAUUAUAAGGAAAUCAGUUCGUCGCAAGAUGAACCCUGAUGGACUUGGUCGGUUCGACACGAAAAAGCACGCAAACUUGAGAGUACGUCUCUUUGCCUCACGCAUUCUACAAUCAAANGUUCAGUUGAAAACAAGUAGUUGGGCGUGAAGACCCCAGCGAACGGGUGCAGUACAGGACUCGAAGCUCGUGCAUUUAGCGUGCGCCUGAGUGGAAUGUGUUGUGCUGCAUCACUGAAUAAAAACGAUUC